Molecule: ribosomal RNA, 404 nt
Filed under: uncultured bacterium
Lineage: Bacteria
Description: bacterial SSU rRNA
Rfam family: Bacterial small subunit ribosomal RNA
Source: RNAcentral
AACGAACGCUGGCGGCAUGCCUAACACAUGCAAGUCGAACGAGACCUUCGGGUCUAGUGGCGCACGGGUGCGUAACGCGUGGGAAUCUGCCCUUGGGUUCGGAAUAACAGUUAGAAAUGACUGCUAAUACCGGAUAAUGUCUUCGGACCAAAGAUUUAUCGCCCAGGGAUGAGCCCGCGUAGGAUUAGCUAGUUGGUGAGGUAAAGGCUCACCAAGGCGACGAUCCUUAGCUGGUCUGAGAGGAUGAUCAGCCACACUGGGACUGAGACACGGCCCAGACUCCUACGGGAGGCAGCAGUGGGGAAUAUUGGACAAUGGGCGAAAGCCUGAUCCAGCAAUGCCGCGUGAGUGAUGAAGGCUAGGGUUGUAAAGACUCUUUACCCGGGUAUGAUAAUGACAGUACC